AGGAAAGUUGCUUGCUGAGCAAGAAAACCCAGCCUGGAAGCUAGGACAUAAAGGAGAUAAUAAAAAAUCACAAAUUACUUGAGAUACAGGCAUCAGUUUAAAGGACUAAUGAUGCCUUGGAGAGGCUCUGAGAAUAGGAGGAGGCAGAGAGAAUGAGCUAUAGGUGCUUCUGAAGAGCUUAUAAAGAAAAUGUACAUAGCAGCCAGCCCCUGUGCUCGGAGACUACCUCAUCUGAGAAAUCUAAAUGGAACUCUGAGGCCUGGAGAGGGCUACGCUUCUGACAGCUGCCCCCAGACUCCAGGGAACACUGGCCCUAAUCAGCAAUUCCACAAAGAGAAUUCACAAGGGGAAACCACGAAAAGAGAGGACCUGAUGACCAUCCCCCCAACCCAGCUUCCUCCAAGUAGGCCAAGUUUAUCCUGCAAUGGUGGGUAAAGCUCUUAAUAGAGAAACUGGAAGACCUGACAGUCUGGAGGGAAAAGGGAGCCUCUUACAAUGCGAAUCUGCCCUUGGGCAAAUCUACUUUACAUAGUCAUGUCAUCAGAAGCAGUUCCUAGAAGCAGAUGCAGAGAUCCAGAGCCAAACACCAGACAGAGC
Molecule: long non-coding RNA, 597 nt
Organism: Onychomys torridus (southern grasshopper mouse)
Lineage: Eukaryota; Metazoa; Chordata; Mammalia; Rodentia; Cricetidae
Exons: 4
Source: RefSeq, a predicted model, not a curated record